GACGAACGCUGGCGGCGUGCUUAACACAUGCAAGUCGAACGGAAAGGCCCUGCUUUUGUGGGGUGCUCGAGUGGCGAACGGGUGAGUAACACGUGAGUAACCUGCCCUUGACUUUGGGAUAACUUCAGGAAACUGGGGCUAAUACCGGAUAAGAGCUCCUGCUGCAUGGUGGGGGUUGGAAAGUUUCGGCGGUUGGGGAUGGACUAGCGGCUUAUCAGCUUGUUGGUGGGGUAGUGGCUUACCAAGGCUUUGACGGGUAGCCGGCCUGAGAGGGUGACCGGCCACAUUGGGACUGAGAUACGGCCCAGACUCCUACGGGAGGCAGCAGUGGGGAAUAUUGCACAAUGGGCGGAAGCCUGAUGCAGCAACGCCGCGUGCGGGAUGACGGCCUUCGGGUUGUAAACCGCUUUCGCCUGUGACGAAGCGUGAGUGACGGUAAUGGGUAAAGAAGCACCGGCUAACUACGUG
Molecule: ribosomal RNA, 468 nt
Filed under: uncultured bacterium
Lineage: Bacteria
Description: partial 16S ribosomal RNA
Rfam family: Bacterial small subunit ribosomal RNA
Source: RNAcentral